UGCGUCAGGAGCGGAAGCCAGCAGUCUUGACGGAAU
Molecule: non-coding RNA, 36 nt
Filed under: uncultured Fragilariaceae
Lineage: Eukaryota; Bacillariophyta; Fragilariophyceae; Fragilariales; Fragilariaceae
Source: RNAcentral